GGCAGUUUGGCCGAGUGGUUAAGGUUAGACCGCCCAAAUUCUGCCAAACCAGAAUAAAUUAGACUAACAAAAUAAUAGGCGCCAGACUUAAGAGAAUUCUGAAUUCUGGUCACGAAAGUGUCGUGGGUUCGAACCCCACAGCUGCCA
RNAcentral lists this transfer RNA (147 nucleotides) under Penicillium flavigenum. It matches the Rfam family "tRNA". From Rfam's summary of the family: Transfer RNA (tRNA) molecules are approximately 80 nucleotides in length. Their secondary structure includes four short double-helical elements and three loops (D, anti-codon, and T loops). The record is from Rfam by way of RNAcentral. Lineage: Eukaryota; Fungi; Ascomycota; Eurotiomycetes; Eurotiales; Aspergillaceae.